This 446-nucleotide ribosomal RNA is filed under the name uncultured bacterium. Its description in RNAcentral is "partial 16S ribosomal RNA". It matches the Rfam family "Bacterial small subunit ribosomal RNA", at positions 338 to 795 of the family's 1533-position model. The record is from RNAcentral.
CCUACGGGUGGCUGCAGUCGAGAAUCUUUCACAAUGGGCGAAACCCUGAUGGAGCGACGCCGCGUGGGGGAAUGAAGGUCUUCGGAUUGUAAACCCCUGUCAUGUGGGAGCAAAUUAAAAAGAGAGUACCACAAGAGGUAUACACUUCUAACUCUGUGCCAGCAGCCGCGGUAAUACAGAGGUCUCAAGCGUUGUUCGGAAUCACUGGGCGUAAAGGGUUCGUAGGCUGGUUAGUAAGUCGUGAGUGAAAGGCUCGGGCUCAACCCGAGGACGGCACAUGAUACUGGGAGACUAGAGUACAGGAGAGGGAAGCGGAAUUCUCGGUGUAGCAGUGAAAUGCGUAGAUAUCGAGAAGAACACUCGUGGCGAAGGCGGGUUCCUGGACAGUAACUGACGCUGAGGCACGAAGGCCAGGGGAGCGAAAGGGAUUAGAUACCCGUGUAGUC